UACGUAGGUGGCAAGCGUUGUCCGGAUUUACUGGGCGUAAAGGAUGUGUAGGCGGUUUGUUAAGUCAGAUGUGAAAUCCCCGGGCUCAACCUGGGAACUGCAUUUGAAACUGGCAAGCUUGAGUCUUGUAGAGGGGGGUAGAAUUCCAGGUGUAGCGGUGAAAUGCGUAGAGAUCUGGAGGAAUACCGGUGGCGAAGGCGGCCCCCUGGACAAAGACUGACGCUCAGGUGCGAAAGCGUGGGGAGCAAACAGGAUUAGAUACCCUGGUAGUCCACGCUGUAAACGAUGUCGACUUGGAGGUUGUUCCCUUGAGGAGUGGCUUCCGGAGCUAACGCGUUAAGUCGACCGCCUGGGGAGUACGGCCGCAAGGUUAAA
This 375-nucleotide ribosomal RNA is filed under the name uncultured bacterium. RNAcentral describes it as "bacterial SSU rRNA". It matches the Rfam family "Bacterial small subunit ribosomal RNA", at positions 524 to 898 of the family's 1533-position model. The record is from RNAcentral.